CCUACGGGAGGCAGCAGUGAGGAAUAUUGGUCAAUGGACGCAAGUCUGAACCAGCCAUGCCGCGUGCAGGAAGACGGCUCUAUGAGUUGUAAACUGCUUUUGUACGAGGGUAAACGCAGAUACGCGUAUCUGACUGAAAGUAUCGUAAGAAUAAGGAUCGGCUAACUACGUGCCAGCAGCAGCGGUAAUACGGAGGAUUCAAGCGUUAUCCGGAUUUAUUGGGUUUAAAGGGUGCGUAGGCGGUCGGAUAAGUUAGAGGUGAAAUCCCGAGGCUCAACUUCGGAAUUGCCUCUGAGACUGUUCGGCUAGAGAGUAGUUGCGGUAGGCGGAAUGUAUGGUGUAGCGGUGAAAUGCUUAGAGAUCAUACAGAACACCGAUUGCGAAGGCAGCUUACCAAGCUACUUCUGACGUUGAGGCACGAAAGCGUGGGGAGCAAACAGGAUUAGAUACCCGAGUAGUC
This 460-nucleotide ribosomal RNA is filed under the name uncultured bacterium. RNAcentral describes it as "partial 16S ribosomal RNA". It matches the Rfam family "Bacterial small subunit ribosomal RNA", at positions 338 to 795 of the family's 1533-position model. The record is from RNAcentral.